AUCAAGGGCUGACCACCGGGGCCGAGUACCGCAGCCAUUCAGAGGAGACUCCAAAACAAAGUGUGUGCCAUUCAUCUUGGCCUUGCAGGUAGGAUCCAACAGGGUGACGUCCAUCCCCGAGUAGCCACUGGCCUGAAAAGAAUCUUUUUCUACAGCCACGAUCAUCUUCUCAUUGUCACAUUUGACAGACAGGGCAAUAUCCACGCUCCC
Molecule: long non-coding RNA, 210 nt
Filed under: Homo sapiens (human)
Lineage: Eukaryota; Metazoa; Chordata; Mammalia; Primates; Hominidae
Description: LNC_000113
Source: RNAcentral